GUGCACAUUCUACAUUGAGUUUAUACCAAUGUUUAGCUUUUCCUGCUAAAGAGAACGGAAAUAGCUCCCAUUAGAUGGUCUCAUCGGGCAUGCCCUCUAUGCGAAUGAGGUCACAAAACCGGUUAAACUCUUGUAGGUGUGAAUAUGGGUUUUCCUCACUUUCUCCCAAGAAGGGUUCUUUCUGAACAAACUCUAUGAAAUCAGGGCUUAUCUCAAAACCAUCAAUUGUGAUAGGCUCUAAAUGUUCUGGCGGUCUAAGGUGUGUGCUCGUGGGGUUAGCAUAUUGAUUGAUAGGAGUGUUGUUAUCCAUGCUAACAAAAGAUGGUAAAAGAAAAGAAGGGAUGAGGCAAAGGAUAAAAAGAUGUAGAUAAGAAAAGAAGAGAUGAUGAUUUUUUUAGAUUAAAAAGGAAAGGACAAAGAUAAGAAGAGAGUUAGAGAGUGAUUUUUUUCUUUAUAUAUAUAUAUGUAUUUUUUGUUUUUGAUAACGGCUAGGCUAGGUUCAUAGUCAAAUUAGCAACCGUUUCCUCGGCAACGGCGGCAGAAAGCUUGUUGGUAUUUUAAGACGCGCACAGAUAAGAUCCGCAAGCGCACAGAUACCGUUGUAGCUCACUACGAGGGUUUUAAAUAUCAUAUCCAUAGGGAAAUGUGUGAGUCAACUCGAAAAGGGUGAGUGAAAAGAAUAUAAACUAUACUAGGGAUAAAAUCUAAGUGGUAACAAGAUAAAAGGUAAAGGAAGAUCAAUCUAGUAUGAGGUCGAUAAUAGGAGUAUAGAGAGGAUAACUCAAUCAUGGGUUUCUACUUCUAACUUGGGUAGUCCGUGUCUUCUGCUACUCAACUAGGGAAAUUACUAUGGAAGAUUGCAAACAUAGUACGAAUCUACCAUGUAAUAAGGUCGGAAAGACCUUCCUCCUAGACCAAUAGAUG
This 924-nucleotide long non-coding RNA is filed under the name Sorghum bicolor (sorghum). RNAcentral describes it as "long non-coding RNA (SBIC_LNC014784)". The record is from RNAcentral. Lineage: Eukaryota; Viridiplantae; Streptophyta; Magnoliopsida; Poales; Poaceae.